AUAAUCCCCCCAAAAGGUUUUAGUAGGCUAGUUAGGGAUGGCCAUUGACAUUCCAAGUCUAGCUAAACAAGGAGUGGUGAUGGUGGUGGUGUGAUGAUGGUGGUGAUGGUGGUGGUGUGAUGGUGGUGGUGAUGAUGGUAGUGUGAUGGUGUUGGUGAUGGUGUUGGUGGUGGUGGUGGUGAUGGUGGUGGUGGUGAUGGUGGUAGUGGUGGUGGUGGUGAUGGUGGUGGUGUGAUGGUGGUGUGAUGGUGGUGGUGGUGUGAUAGUGGUGUGAUGGUGGUGGUGAUGGUGGUGGUGUGAUAGUGGUGUUGGUGGUGGUGUGAUGGUGUGAUGGUGGUGGUGUGAUGGUGGUGGGAUGGUGUGAUGGUGGUGGUGAUGGUGGUGGUGUGAUGGUGUUGGUGUUGGUGGUGGUGUGAUGGUGGUGGUGAUGGUGGUGGUGUGAUGGUGGUAGUGAUGGUGGUGGUGUGAUGGUGGUGGUGGUGGUGUGAUGGUGGUGGUGAUGGUGGUGGUUUGAUGGUGGUGGUGUGAUGGUGGUGAUUGUGGUGUGGUGGUUGUGAUGGUGAUGGUAGUGGCAGUGAUGGUGAUGGUGGUGGUGGUGGUGGAGGAGAUGACAGUUGUGACUAUAGUGGUGGCAGUGGUGAUGAUGGAGAUGAGGGUGGUAGUGACGACUGUGAUGGUGGAGAUGGUGUUAAUGGUGGUGGUGGUAGUAAUGGUGGCAUGCUUAUGAGAUGGGAGUGAGGUUUACUAUUCCUAAUUUUACAGAACUGUCCAGGUUAGUAUGGGCCCUUAAGAAUAAUCCUUUCUGAGAUCUUCCCACCAGUAUAAAUUGCAGAUGUACCACUUAAAUUUCCCUAUUAUCUGAAGAGUAAA
RNAcentral lists this long non-coding RNA (870 nucleotides) under Homo sapiens (human). RNAcentral's name for it is "HSALNT0364375". Lineage: Eukaryota; Metazoa; Chordata; Mammalia; Primates; Hominidae. The record is from RNAcentral.